Non-coding RNA from Styela clava, 971 nucleotides. Lineage: Eukaryota; Metazoa; Chordata; Ascidiacea; Stolidobranchia; Styelidae. The record is from RefSeq and is a predicted model, not a curated record.
AAUAAUAGCGGCGACCUGAUGUGGCUGCCCAAUAUGGGAAAAACACCUUCACCUAAUACCAGUCCAGGUUGGGCGCUUGAUGGACAGAUUACCUCUACAUGGAAGGGAGCAGACCAGAAAAGACUUAAAGCAAUUCUGAGAGGGCCCAAAUGCUUGCGUGAAUGCUUUUGUAUUCGUUCCGCUUGCCACAUGAUGGUCGAUCCAAAAACAACCAUUGGGCUUGCGAACGGUGAAACUGUGAAUUUCAACGGAUUUCUCAUAUGGGAUGGCAGAAAAUGAUUGAAACGGUGGAUAUGCCAAGAGAAUCUAUGAUUGAAAUUGUUGCAACAGAGGGAACAACAUUUCGAGGGCAUAAAAUCAGAGCAACACCCGGAAUGUGAAUUGAGGAUAUGUAAAGACAACACUUACUAACAUUGAAUCAACGUCGUUUAAUUUGUGAUCAAGCCACGCCACAUGUUAAUAAAUUUUACGAACCAUGAACCGACACAACUAUGUUACGUAACGCAGUUACCAGUGUUUCAACUAUAUUUUAUUUGAUAUCAGCAAUAUUUUAAAUGACAAGUUCUGAAUGCUUUGACCUAAAUACUAGAAUCUUCCAUAAUAUGAGUAUUUCAAACUAUAUCUAAUUUGAUUCUUCAUUUGCAUGAACUUAGACGUUAGAAUGCAAACUUGUCUUCAUUUGAGCGCUGAAUCCAUAUUAGUUUUAGGAAGCAAUCAUGAGAUUUAGGAAGCAAUGAUGCCUGAAAAAGAUUAUUUUUUGAAUUUAUGUUCAAUGAAACCAUGGUUAAGUAUAGUUUUGGGUUUCUCACAAUCUACAAAAACGACAUAUUAUGUCCACGUUGUUAUUGCACCGACUAUUUCGCGUCACAUUUAUCUCGAAUGCUUGUGUAUGUAUAAGUUUCUUAAGUCGUGAAAUAGUCCUGAUAAAAUAGGUUCUUUGUUUAUUUCUAAAUAUAUUUUGGUCAAAAUCA